This 164-nucleotide ribosomal RNA is filed under the name Coreopsis auriculata. Its description in RNAcentral is "5.8S ribosomal RNA". It matches the Rfam family "5.8S ribosomal RNA". Rfam says of the family: 5.8S ribosomal RNA (5.8S rRNA) is a component of the large subunit of the eukaryotic ribosome. It is transcribed by RNA polymerase I as part of the 45S precursor that also contains 18S and 28S rRNA. The record is from RNAcentral. Lineage: Eukaryota; Viridiplantae; Streptophyta; Magnoliopsida; Asterales; Asteraceae. RNAcentral also lists the same sequence under 4 other names.
UAAACGACUCUCGGCAACGGAUAUCUCGGCUCACGCAUCGAUGAAGAACGUAGCAAAAUGCGAUACUUGGUGUGAAUUGCAGAAUCCCGUGAACCAUCGAGUUUUUGAACGCAAGUUGCGCCCGAAGCCUUUUGGUCGAGGGCACGUCUGCCUGGGCGUCACGC